CAGGUGGCUGCCUGCCAGAGAGGAGGCAUUGCGCAGACUCUUGUGCAAACAGGCUGGUUGGCGUGUGCCUGCGGAAGAGGCCACCUGCCGGCAUCUUCCCGGGGAAGAGUAUAUCUACAUGUUGAAACAGACACAGAGCUGGAAGAUGGGAAGCGGAUCAGAAAUGCCCUAGGUUGGUUGCAGUUGUACCUAUCAACCAUUACCCAGCUCUUACUCCAGGACUCCGAACACUUUUUGUGGAACAGACUUUGCUGUGUCCGGUGCCCUUCUCUUGUCCACCUUGGCGUCUUUACACACUCCACUCCUCUACCUACAGGGCUCCCUUUCCGUCUUUGCCUUCAGAUUUCAGCACAAAUACCUCUCUUCUGGGAGCCUUUUCUGACCAUCUGAUCACUGAUCACCUCCAUGCUGGGGAGUUGGUUUUAUUAUUGUUCUCCCAGGACCAGGUGCUUUUCCUUCAAAGCACUUAUUCACGUUUCUAAAUGUAUAUCUAUUUCUGGUGAUCAGAUGAAUACUUACCUUCCCAUAGAUGGUAAGCUCCAGAAGAGCAGGG
RNAcentral lists this long non-coding RNA (553 nucleotides) under Bos indicus x Bos taurus (hybrid cattle). Its description in RNAcentral is "lncRNA (ENSBIXG00000008077.1)". Lineage: Eukaryota; Metazoa; Chordata; Mammalia; Artiodactyla; Bovidae. The record is from RNAcentral.